UAACACGUGGGUAACCUGCCCUGAUGAUCGGGACAACCCGAGGAAACUCGGGCUAAUACCGAAUGUGCCCUCCGGCCAUAAGGCCACUGGGGAAAGGAAGCUUCGGCCUCCGCAUUGGGAUGGGCCCGCGGCCCAUUAGCUUGUUGGUGAGGUAACGGCUCACCAAGGCAAUGAUGGGUAGCUGGUCUGAGAGGACGAUCAGCCACGCUGGGACUGAGACACGGCCCAG
This 229-nucleotide ribosomal RNA is filed under the name uncultured bacterium. RNAcentral's name for it is "partial 16S ribosomal RNA". It matches the Rfam family "Bacterial small subunit ribosomal RNA", at positions 111 to 334 of the family's 1533-position model. The record is from RNAcentral.